UACGAAGGGGGCUAGCGUUGUUCGGAUUUACUGGGCGUAAAGCGCACGUAGGCGGUUUGUUAAGUCAGAGGUGAAAUCCUGGAGCUCAACUCCAGAACUGCCUUUGAUACUGGCAAGCUCGAGUCCGGAAGAGGUAAGUGGAACUCCUAGUGUAGAGGUGGAAUUCGUAGAUAUUAGGAAGAACACCAGUGGCGAAGGCGGCUUACUGGUCCGGAACGUGACGCUGAGGUGCGAAAGCGUGGGGAGCAAACAGGAUUGAGAU
This 262-nucleotide ribosomal RNA is filed under the name uncultured bacterium. RNAcentral's name for it is "partial 16S ribosomal RNA". It matches the Rfam family "Bacterial small subunit ribosomal RNA", at positions 524 to 783 of the family's 1533-position model. The record is from RNAcentral.